RNA transcript from Gastrolobium bilobum, 2524 nucleotides. It is a transcript of the gene named cell division cycle 20.2, cofactor of APC complex-like, with no coding region annotated. The record is from RefSeq and is a predicted model, not a curated record. Lineage: Eukaryota; Viridiplantae; Streptophyta; Magnoliopsida; Fabales; Fabaceae. The transcript is spliced from 9 exons.
UCGUCUCUCUCUCUCUCUUGUUCUGAUCUUCAAGCUCCAAAUCAACAACCACCACGCGCCGACAUUCAUUUUAUUCUCUCUCUCUGUUUUCUUUGUCGUUUCUUUCCAUUCAAUUUUCUUCAUUGUGUUUUCUGUUUUGCAGGGUUUCUUGAUUUCUUCUUCUUCUUCCCUCUCCAAUCAUGGAUGCGGGGUCUUGGAGUUCUUCCACCGAGAUCAAAUCCCGAUCCCCUCUCCAAGUGAAUUCCCUCCACAGAAAGAAUUAUCAGGAAAACUUGGACAGGUUCAUUCCCAAUAGGUCAGCCAUGGACUUCGGUUACGCUCACUACAUGCUUACGGAGGGAAGGAAGAUCAAAGAGAAGCCGGCGGUGACGUCGCCGUCGCAAGAAGCCUACCGGAAGCUACUGGCGGAAGCCUUGAACAUGAACCGGACUCGAAUCUUGGCCUUCAAGAAUAAGCCCCCAACGCCGGUUGAACUCAUCCCCAAGCAUAUUCUUUCCCCUCCUCCUCAAUCCAAAUCCUCCAAGCCCAAGCGAUACAUUCCUCAGAGUUCUGAGAGGACCUUGGAUGCACCUGGUAUCGUAGACGACUUCUACUUGAACUUACUAGACUGGGGUAGCAGCAACGUCCUCAGUAUUGCCCUUGAAAAUACGGUAUAUCUUUGGAAUGCCGAUGAUGGCUCCACUUCAGAACUUGUCACUGUGGAUGAGGAAGAUGGUCCGGUUACAAGUGUUAGCUGGGCUCCUGAUGGACGCCAUUUAGCCAUUGGUUUGAACAAUUCCCUUGUCCAACUGUGGGAUUCUAUCGAUACUAAGCUGCUAAGAACACUGAGUGGUGGACACCAAGCACGAGUGGGUUCACUAGCUUGGAACAAUCAUAUCCUUACAACGGGAGGAAUGGAUGGUAGAAUAGUUAACAAUGAUGUUAGAGUAAGAUCUCCCAUUGUUGAAACCUACAGGGGACAUCAACAGGAGGUCUGUGGGCUCAAGUGGUCUGCCUCGGGACAACAAUUGGCCAGUGGAGGCAACGAUAAUCUUAUUCAUAUAUGGGACAGGUCCGCAGUCUCUUCCAAUUCAGCAACCCGUUGGCUUCACAGGCUUGAGGAGCACGGAGCUGCUGUAAAGGCACUGGCUUGGUGUCCCUUUCAGGGAAAUCUACUAGCUUCUGGUGGAGGUGGGGGUGAUCAGUGCAUUAAGUUUUGGAACACCCAUACGGGUGCAUGCUUGAACUCUGUUAACACAGGCUCUCAGGUGUGCUCUCUGCUGUGGAACAAGAAUGAGCGUGAGUUGCUUAGCUCGCACGGUUUCACCCAUAACCAGCUCACUCUUUGGAAAUAUCCUUCUAUGGUGAAGAUGGCAGAGCUCAAUGGUCAUUCCUCCAGGGUGCUAUUUAUGACUCAAAGUCCAGAUGGGUGUACUGUGGCCUCUGCAGCAGGGGAUGAGACUCUGCGAUUUUGGAAUGUCUUUGGAACCCCAGAAGCGUGCAAACCAGCCCCAAAGGCAAACACUGAGCCCUUUGCUCAUUUCAACCGUAUCCGUUGAAGAUGACAUGUAAAACUUUUGCUGCAAAUAUUGUAUAGGGGAUUCUGUGCUAUAGGUUGUCAUACAAUUAAGCUAACUGCUGAAUGUCCUGGAGCUGUAUUUUAUGCAAUGAUGAAGUAUGCUUUAGACACCCCCUAUAGUUCAGCUGAAUGUAGUUUGGAGGUAUGAACAUACUUGGAAAACUUGGCGUCUUGGCCUUUCCAGAGGUACCAACUACCAAGCAACAAAAUUUGAAAAAUGAUCAGAACAAAGAUAGCUUGAUUAAGAAUGUUUAGGUUGUACUUAAAAAAUGGAAAAAGGUUCUUAGAUCCUACCUGAUUGACAUUAAUGAGCAGAUUGAAGUAAUAUUAAAAUUUGAAGAAAUGUGUUUGGAAUCUUCUAAGGAGUUUGCUCCAUUGUUCACAAGGAUUUUGCACUACAUGUAUAAUGAAGAUAUUGGAGAAGAAGAUGCUAUUUUGAAUUGGGAAGAUGAGAAGAAAGACGCAGAUGAGUCACAUUAAGUUUUUGUUAAGCAGGCCCAAAAAUUAAUUCAAGUGUCCUUAUGUAACUUUUUUUACACCCUUAUAAAACUAGGUGGUUACUUACGUUUUCACAACUAUUCUAUGAGAUGCAUUACUUUCUCAUGUAAGCCUUUUUAUCGUUUCUUGUCUGUAGUGAUUAUUUUGACAAGGAAGAAUAGAAAGGAUAUUACUUUCUCAUGUAAUCCUUUUUAUCGUUUCUUGUCUGUAGUGAUUAUUUUGACAAGGAAGAAUAGAAAGGAUUUCGCGAGGCUAGAUACUCUAUCUUUUUCCCGGUUCUUUCAUCUGGGGAACUUAAAAGGGAUUUUUGUGCAUUCAUCUAUGCAGGAAUUCAAGUGGGGAGUUAUUUUGACAUGUUUCUUUGUAUAUCCUGUUGUGGAGGAAUAAUAGAAUCUAAUGAAAAUCGAAGGCUUCAGAAGAACACAAAGUCUCAAGUUUGUUACAAUGUAUGAUCACUUAUCUGUCAAU